UUUGGUGGCGAUAGCGAAGAGGUCACACCCGUUCCCAUUCCGAACACGGCAGUUAAGCUCUUCAGCGCCGAUGGUAGUUGGGGUUCCCCCUGUGAGAGUAGGACGCCGCCAAGC
This 114-nucleotide ribosomal RNA is filed under the name Peribacillus frigoritolerans. Lineage: Bacteria; Bacillati; Bacillota; Bacilli; Caryophanales; Bacillaceae. The record is from RNAcentral.